AAAAGCAUCAGCCUAUAUUUCACAACCUUACCCAAGAAAAGCGGCAAUGUUGAGCAGUUGGAGAGGCCCUGACAGGUCCAGACAGCCAAAACUCUGUGACCCGAGGCAACCCAAGGCUGGAGUUCCUCCUUCAGGCAGGCAGCCAAGACCCACCACCCUUCAUAAGGCUCUGUGGAUCAUACAGCAGGGGCUCCAAAGUGGCUGAGCAGGCCAGAAAAUCUUCCAGGAUGAGCAGAGCGGUCUGAAAUCCUGAAGGCAGAAACAUCAGCUUCACUGCCACCUACCCUCCCCAGGCCAGAGGCCCAGAAGCCAGCAGCAGGGGCGCUGAGGCCUCAUAGUAGCCCUGCGGGUAAGGGAAGCACCCUGGAGGCUGCUAGAAGCCCACGACUCUGCGUUGCGCGUGCGCACUCGCCCUGGUGUGCCUAGUGGUGCUUCUGCUGCCGGACGGGGUCGUGGGGGAGGAGCUGCAAGGACCACAGCAUCUGAUGCUCCGGGUCGCGCGAUGGCUGUCCAACUUAGGCCAGUUCAACAAGUACAUAGAGAAGUUCUUCAAUAGCAGCAUGAAAUCCAAGAACACCAAGAACUCUAGUGACGCGAGCAACCCCAGGAAUAAUACGAAACCCCUAUCAGCGAACGCGAGGAAACCUCUGCCAGCGAACGCGACGAAACCUCUGCCAGCGAACACGACGAAACUCACCGGACCGAAAACCACGAGCCCCCAGCCGCUGAACGCCGCGAAACCCCAACCACCAGCCUCCUCCCAGGGCCCCAGGUAGGAGAGCCUGGGCCCGGCUGGCCCCAGUCGGGGUCCUCGAAACUGGGAGCAGGUUGGGCGGUAGCGAAAGGAAGCCCUGGAGGCUUGGGGGACCCAGGGGAUUCCCGGGGACUUCCUUCUUCAGGCUGAGCUUUGACUUCCGAAGCUCAACCAAGUCUCCCCGCCCACCGACCCUCUUUAUACUAUGAGAGGGGGCCUAACUCCUGCCCAGCCCGCCCUCAGUGAGAACAAUAAAGAGAAACGGAAUCUCUGUUGCUUCCUUGAC
This 1040-nucleotide long non-coding RNA is filed under the name Bos indicus x Bos taurus (hybrid cattle). RNAcentral describes it as "lncRNA (ENSBIXG00005026790.1)". The record is from RNAcentral. Lineage: Eukaryota; Metazoa; Chordata; Mammalia; Artiodactyla; Bovidae.